AUUGAACGCUGGCGGCAUGCUUUACACAUGCAAGUCGAGCGGUAGCACGCGGCAAUUUGCUGUCGAAUGUUGGACGGGGGCGUAAUGCAUCCAAACGUGCCCCGUCCUUGUGGAUAUCGACUCGCAAGGGUAGCUAAGAGCUCAUACGAGCUAUGAUUUAGAACGGGGUGGUUCAAGAGUGCACGCCGUUGUUGCUGCCACUUAUAGAUGAGUUCGUGCUGGAUUAGGUAGUUGGCAAGGUAACGGCUCACCAAGGCAACGAUGGGUAGCAGACCUGAGAGGACGACCGGCCACACUGGAACUGAGACACGGCCCAGACUCCUACGGGAGGCAGCAGUGGGGAAUUUUGGACAAUGGGCGAAAGCCUGAUGCAGCAACGCCGCGUGAAGGAAGAAGGCCUUCGGAUCGUAAAACGCUGUUGUAAGGGAAGAAACGAUUUUGGUUAAUACCCGCGGAUAAUGACGGUACCGAAAGAAUAAGCAACGGCUAACUACGUG
This 497-nucleotide ribosomal RNA is filed under the name uncultured bacterium. RNAcentral's name for it is "partial 16S ribosomal RNA". It matches the Rfam family "Bacterial small subunit ribosomal RNA", at positions 30 to 507 of the family's 1533-position model. The record is from RNAcentral.